GCUCAGGAUNAACGCUGGCGGUAUGCUUAACACAUGCAAGUCGAACGGAAUCUUCGGAUUUAGUGGCGGACGGGUGAGUAACGCGUGAGAAUCUAGCUCUAGGUCGGGGACAACCACUGGAAACGGUGGCUAAUACCGGAUGUGCCGAAAGGUGAAAGAUUUAUUGCCUAGAGAUGAGCUCGCGUCUGAUUAGCUAGUUGGUGUGGUAAGAGCGCACCAAGGCGACGAUCAGUAGCUGGUCUGAGAGGAUGAUCAGCCACACUGGGACUGAGACACGGCCCAGACUCCUACGGGAGGCAGCAGUGGGGAAUUUUCCGCAAUGGGCGAAAGCCUGACGGAGCAAUACCGCGUGAGGGAGGAAGGCUCUUGGGUUGUAAACCUCUUUUCUCAGGGAAUAAGAAAGUGAAGGUACCUGAGGAAUAAGCAUCGGCUAACUCCGUGCCAGCAGCCGCGGUAAUACGGAGGAUGCAAGCGUUAUCCGGAAUGAUUGGGCGUAAAGCGUCCGCAGGUGGCACUGUAAGUCUGCUGUUAAAGAGCAAGGCUCAACCUUGUAAAGGCAGUGGAAACUACAGAGCUAGAGUACGUUCGGGGCAGAGGGAAUUCCUGGUGUAGCGGUGAAAUGCGUAGAGAUCAGGAAGAACACCGGUGGCGAAAGCGCUCUGCUAGGCCGUAACUGACACUGAGGGACGAAAGCUAGGGGAGCGAAUGGGAUUAGAUACCCCAGUAGUCCUAGCCGUAAACGAUGGAUACUAGGCGUGGCUUGUAUCGACCCGAGCCGUGCCGGAGCCAACGCGUUAAGUAUCCCGCCUGGGGAGUACGCACGCAAGUGUGAAACUCAAA
RNAcentral lists this ribosomal RNA (840 nucleotides) under Trichormus variabilis DARA-86. RNAcentral describes it as "bacterial SSU rRNA". It matches the Rfam family "Bacterial small subunit ribosomal RNA", at positions 22 to 905 of the family's 1533-position model. Lineage: Bacteria; Bacillati; Cyanobacteriota; Cyanophyceae; Nostocales; Nostocaceae. The record is from RNAcentral.